AUAGAUGCUGACUGCUAGAUUGAUGUAAGACACUGUUUGCCUGCCAAAGUUUUUUUCUUCCUUUUCCCCUCCCUUAACGGCGUUCGAUCUCUGCCGCCGUUUUUAAGAGGCUUUUUAAAAUUCUUGGAAAAAUCUUUAGGAGAGCCUAAGGAAUUUCAGCCUCACUUCUUUAACUCCUGUGUCAUCUUUCAGCACGUGGAUGGGGAUGAAAGCUUUGAUGGGAUUUCUGUCUGGAGCUGAAACAGAAAGCAAAGUUAUCAGUGCAGGCUGGUAGAAAUGUCCCUUCUGCUGGCUCUGUGGACUCAGAGAUGUUUUGGAUGCCAAGUCUGGCGGCUGUACGGACGCUCUUGGAUUUACACAGCUCACACGAGCUGGUGUUCACUCGUGAGGGAUCAUUUUUAAUCUCUGUGUAAAUCUGCCAUAACACUGUGGGCAGGAGAGAAGAUGGGAAUCUCCUUCCCAGACCCUUCAGGUGGCCUGAAAGUAAGGAAAGAAACCCCUUAGUGUGAUGGCAUCCAGCAGAACUCCUCAGGAUUCAGCUUCCAAGGGAUUUCCAAGUGCUUUCCUGAAGCCCAAAGAACUUGAAAGAUCUCUGGAACCCUUGAUAGCAUAAAAUCAUUGGCUGACAGGACAAGCCACUUCCAAAAGGGUCUCUUCUGCUGACCACCAAUGUUACCUGUUCUUGAUGAAGGGUCUUUCAUUUCCUCAUCAGGAGAACAGACAACUGCACUGCUGUUGGCUCAUUGAAAAAUUCUGUCCAGUCUUUCCAAUUUUUAAAAUAUAAUCCUAAGAUUAUAUUUUAAAAUGUAAGAUAUAAAAAUAUAAUAAUAUAUAAAAUAUAAAAUAUUAUAUUUUAAAAUACAAGACUAACAUGGUUUUUGUGUUUUAUCCUCUUCACACAGUUUUGGAGGCUUUUUCA
Long non-coding RNA from Passer domesticus (house sparrow), 919 nucleotides. RefSeq lists it as uncharacterized. The transcript has 4 exons. NCBI's taxonomy places the organism in Eukaryota, Metazoa, Chordata, Aves, Passeriformes, Passeridae. The record is from RefSeq and is a predicted model, not a curated record.